This 555-nucleotide ribosomal RNA is filed under the name uncultured bacterium. Its description in RNAcentral is "partial 16S ribosomal RNA". It matches the Rfam family "Bacterial small subunit ribosomal RNA", at positions 355 to 900 of the family's 1533-position model. The record is from RNAcentral.
UGGGGAAUUUUGGACAAUGGGCGAAAGCCUGAUCCAGCAAUGCCGCGUGUGUGAAGAAGGCCUUCGGGUUGUAAAGCACUUUUGUCCGGAAAGAAAUCCUUGGCUCUAAUACAGUCGGGGGAUGACGGUACCGGAAGAAUAAGCACCGGCUAACUACGUGCCAGCAGCCGCGGUAAUACGUAGGGUGCAAGCGUUAAUCGGAAUUACUGGGCGUAAAGCGUGCGCAGGCGGUUUGCUAAGACCGAUGUGAAAUCCCCGGGCUCAACCUGGGAACUGCAUUGGUGACUGGCAGGCUAGAGUAUGGCAGAGGGGGGUAGAAUUGCCACGUGUAGCAGUGAAAUGCGUAGAGAUGUGGAGGAAUACCGAUGGCGAAGGCAGCCCCCUGGGCCAAUACUGACGCUCAUGCACGAAAGCGUGGGGAGCAAAACAGGAUUCAGAUACCCUGGUAGUCCACGCCCUAAACGAUGUCAACUAGUUGUUGGGGAUUCAUUUCCUUAGUAACGUAGCUAACGCGUGAAGUUGACCGCCUGGGGAGUACGGUCGCAAGAUUAAAAC